AGCGAGUCUGCCUUGAAGAUCGGAGUGCUCGCACUCUGUGAAACAAGAUACAGGCUAGCGGCGGACGGGUGAGUAACACGUGGGUAACCUGCCCAAGAGAUCGGGAUAACACCUGGAAACAGAUGCUAAUACCGGAUAACAACAGAUGAUGCCUAUCAACUGUUUAAAAGAUGGUUCUGCUAUCACUCUUGGAUGGACCUGCGGUGCAUUAGCUAGUUGGUAGGGUAACGGCCUACCAAGGCGAUGAUGCAUAGCCGAGUUGAGAGACUGAUCGGCCACAUUGGGACUGAGACACGGCCCAAACUCCUACGGGAGGCAGCAGUAGGGAAUCUUCCACAAUGGACGCAAGUCUGAUGGAGCAACGCCGCGUGAGUGAAGAAGGGUUUCGGCUCGUAAAGCUCUGUUGUUGGUGAAGAAGGACAGGGGUAGUAACUGACCUUUGUUUGACGGUAAUCAAUUAGAAAGUCACGGCUAACUACGUGCCAGCAGCCGCGGUAAUACGUAGGUGGCAAGCGUUGUCCGGAUUUAUUGGGCGUAAAGCGAGUGCAGGCGGCUCGAUAAGUCUGAUGUGAAAGCCUUCGGCUCAACCGGAGAAUUGCAUCAGAAACUGUCGAGCUUGAGUACAGAAGAGGAGAGUGGAACUCCAUGUGUAGCGGUGAAAUGCGUAGAUAUAUGGAAGAACACCGGUGGCGAAGGCGGCUCUCUGGUCUGUUACUGACGCUGAGGCUCGAAAGCAUGGGUAGCGAACAGGAUUAGAUACCCUGGUAGUCCAUGCCGUANACGAUGAGUGCUAAGUGUUGGGAGGUUUCCGCCUCUCAGUGCUGCAGCUAACGCAUUAAGCACUCC
This 846-nucleotide ribosomal RNA is filed under the name uncultured bacterium. RNAcentral describes it as "bacterial SSU rRNA". It matches the Rfam family "Bacterial small subunit ribosomal RNA", at positions 56 to 870 of the family's 1533-position model. The record is from RNAcentral.